This is a long non-coding RNA of Camelus dromedarius (Arabian camel), 7114 nucleotides long. RefSeq lists it as uncharacterized. NCBI's taxonomy places the organism in Eukaryota, Metazoa, Chordata, Mammalia, Artiodactyla, Camelidae. The record is from RefSeq and is a predicted model, not a curated record. The transcript is spliced from 3 exons.
AUGAGCUGGUACUCGUGGGUGUCGUGUGCGUGGCUGUGACAUGAGGCAGAAUGACACAAACGCCACAGUAGAGACACGAGAGUCUCUCGCAGGAGAAUGGGGGCUGACCUGAGUGACUGGAUUUGAACAGAUGAGGAGAGACUUUCCACAGAAGGUGGAAUUUGAAAUCAAUAAACCACAUGGGAAAAGGGGAGUCACAGCUUGCGAAAGAAUUGCAGUUAACUUAAGUCUAUUUAUUCUAAGUCAGAGCCUGUGAAAAAGCAGAAAACAUGGUGGGUAGGCAGGUAUCCAGAUGUAUCUGUGAUGGACAUCGUGUGACUUGCACAGGCAGAACGCACAAGAACUGUACUGGGCCAUGAGGAUCUUGAUGGAAUGGUCCACGACACAUUCACAUUUGAAUUUCUAUUGAGGCAGGAAGACAAGAUUACAGCCACUUUGCAAAAGGACCAGGAAACAGCCUUGGGCAAAACAGGUUUUGUAAGCUAAAGAUCAAAGGCCUGAGUCCCGGGGGAGGUGGGGAACAGGCUUGCAGGAAUAAAAGGUUAACUCCAUCUCUGUUACACUAAUAAGUACACCUAGUUGCCGCAAGACAAGAAGCUUAACUGUAAGUUUUAACCUUAUCUGUUCCUGAGCUUUCUUGCAGAAAAUUCUCAUGCAUUCCUUUCCCCUCACAGACCCACUCCUGUUCCUGACGGUCACCAUGGAGCCACCUGCUGCUGAUCAAAGGAGUCUGACGAUUUCUGGAAAUUAGCUGUAAUCAUGAGACUGUUACAGAAACGACAGGCCAGCCAAGAAACAAGCACCACUUGGAGGGUUGGAGUACUCAGAUGUAUUACGCUGGCGGGCUCAGAGGGGCUUCUGCUCCGAAGCUCUGAGCACCUCCAAGAUGUGCGCAUGAGGUUUUAUAGGGUGUGUUGGAGCCAAUCAGUCUUUGUACAGACUUUUCCAGCUGUUGUCAUGACAACCGUCAACUGUCACGGUGCUGGUGGGUGUAUCAUUUAGCAUGCCAAUACAUUACAAUGAGUGUAUGAGGCUAAGGUCCACUGGAAGUCAAAUCCUCCACCAUGGCGGACUUUCAAUUCUGACCAGUUCUUGUUUCUUCUCUUUGCAGCCACUUAGAGCUUGACAAUUUUUGGAAAGAUGAAUGAUGUGAACUGACCGCUAUAGGAGAAAGUAAUGAAGCAUCUGAAUGCGGACCCAUAGGUUACUAAGCCCAAGUUGUUUGGGGGCCAACCUGCUGAUGAAAAAUUAAUCAGCUGAUCUAAGAAAGAAAUGGCAACUUUUAUUCAAGCCAAAUUUGAGGAUUAUAACCUGGGAAGAGCCCCUCAGAAAGCUCUGAGAACUGUUCCACCGGCUAGAAGUCAAGGCACAGUUAUAUAAGUGUUUUUUGAGACAGAGGGCUGUACAUCAAAUAAUGUAUUAUUGACAGUUUGCAUAAUCCAGAUCUAAGUGUCAUCAUCAUUGUGGUGGGUCAUGAGAUUCUAUACAAGAUCAAGAAUGAAUGUUAUCUUUUACUGAGUUGUCUAGUUGAUGCAACAGGAGAACGUUACUCUUUAUGGUUGAGCAGGUAUUCCUGCCGAUGGGGGAGUUUGGUUAAUGCCUAAUGCAGAUACAAGAUGCACAGUGCGGGGGGAGAAAAAGAUUGAAACCCAGUUCCCUGUAACAGGAACUCAUUAAUUGAUGCAUACAUCAUUGACCUUCCUCCCUUCCUGUAUCACUUUUCCAUUCUCUCACAAUAUCCGAAUCCUCAUGUCAGCUUUGGCUUUUGAGGGAACCCCAAAUAAAACACCCGCUGCCUUGGGCUUUGAAACAACUGCCAAGAAUGAGAAUACGAGACCCUGAAGACCAGAACAGAUCAUGGGGCCUGCAUAGCUAGUCUAACCCUUCCCGUCCCCGAGAUGAUGCUCACGUCUUUUCUACAGCAUCCUUGUCAGUGCUAAGCACUUCUGGUUCUCUUGUCGGGGAAAGGAGGUGAAUGGGUUAUCUUGCCCUAGUGAUCUAGAGAGAACUGCGUAUCCCCCCAAAGAUUCAGUCACUACACAACCACCCCACUCAUUCUGGGCAUGCAGCCCACUCAUUCUGGGCAUGCUGAUGGCUUGUGUAAACUUUUGUGCAUUUUUGUAUCACUCAGGGUCCUGGAAGAAAAACAGAAGGCAGUCUUAGAGGUUUACCUAAAGGAAGAUUAAUGAAGGAACUAGUGACAGAAAUGUGGGCAGGUCAUGGGAACCAAAACAGAUGUUGACACACUGGGGACCAAUAACACGGAGGCUAUUACUUCCCCUGAGACUUAAGGGGCAAGGAGCAGGAACCAUGUCACUGCAGCAGGAAAAGCUGCAGCCAAGGAUGUGGGCUGCCUCACAGGUACUGAGACCUUAGAUAGAGGAACUGAGCCUACUAUCAAAACCAUGAUCAGAACAGGGGAAUUCUGUCUCCUCCUGACCCCUAGUUUCAUUGGCUGAACAUCACCAGAAGGGUAAGUCCGAGAACUGGAGAUGAGGCAGCCCAUGUGGGCUAGCCUUUCAGGGUCCAGAGCAAGGCAGAGAAGGGCUGUGUUGGUUAUCUUUCGCCUGCCUCUCCAGCUCUCCCCUCCAUCCUUUUCCAGUCUCUUGUGUCCCUGGGGACUGAGCUUUAUAUGGGGUUCAUCACUAGGCACCCUUGCCCUCCUACUCCAGCUGGCUGCAGGAAACAGGACACCCUAUUAGGAGACUGCAGGAGAGAAAUGGCAAAUUGUUUAUUCUCUCAAUUCCCCACCCACCGUGAUGUUGCCAAGGGCUGGUGGGCCCCUUGAGCAAAGGUCACUGCUCCUGUCAAAGUGGGCUUCCCCACAUGGCUUUCUCCUGAGGUCCAGGCAAGCAUGAUUUUCACUUGCCUCUUCAGGCUUAGAUGAUUACGGUUUGCUUCUGCUCUUAACAACUUUGACAUAUUGUUCUAUCACUUGUGGUUUCUUUAUUCCCUGCCCACAUUUUGCAACACUCCUCCCCACUCCCGUAUUAAGUGUCCAUCAGGUGAUCGCACCGGAAUGUUCUAGCUCAGUCCUACCAGUUACCUGACUGCUCUGAGAGCAGAACAUGGAUCUGGAUGGGCAAGUGGAGAAGCACGGUGUCCCAGCUCAACGUCAGGCAGAGAGCAAAUCCAACUCCACUCUGCCUUUUGGUUUCACUCCAGCCCUGGACGAGUCCCACUCACACCGGGGAGGGCCACCUGCUUUACUCGGCUCACCAGUUCACAUGCGAGCCUCUUCUGGAAGCGUCCUCAUGGACACAUCCAGCAAUAAUGUUUAACAGCCAUCUGGGCAGCCUGUGGCCCACUCGAGUUGACACAUACAAUUACCCAUCACAGAUGGCAAUACUAUGAAUUCUUUUUUUUUUUUAAACAACCUUUGUUACUCUUUUUUUUUUUAAGUAAAUGAAAUUAAAUGAGCUCCCUGUAUUUCACGUGUUUAUUCCAAUUUAAUAAUAAUUGAUUUUACGUUAAAGCUGUCUCAGAUCUUUUCUAUAACAUACUUGCAUGAGAUAGUUACAAAUGUAGACGACGGUGGGAUGGUUGGGACUACGGCUGGGACAGCCUCAUUCUCGCCUGUCUCCUCUAUGUGCAGUGUGGGUGCCAAGGGAAUCUCUGACACAUGGCUAUUCAUAGAGAGAUGAGUUGCUUGCUUGCUUGCUAUGAGUUAUUCCCCUUGUGUAAAACCCCAUGUCAAGAUACGGUCCCUUUUCUAUAGAUUAUCUCUUCAAUCUAUUUGAGUAUGUGAAGGCUCAUACUGGCCACAAUAAAGAGCCACUCAACUCUGAGCUGUUCUCUUAGGCCUUGGUGGCCCCUUUCAUAAUUUGGCCUCAUCUUCAUACUGACCCUCAACUGGCAGCGUUUUGCUGAAGGCUUUGCUCUGCGUGGCUCUCCAUGCUGCAAUUCCCAGGAAGCCUGAAGCUUCCUGCCUCAUCUCUCUCCAGUGGCCCAGUAUUGGGGCCUGCAGGCACUGGUGGGAUCUUUCUUUUCUCCCUCUUGCAAACUCUGAACUCCAGGGGUGGUCCAUGGCCCCUCUACCUGGUCACACAGCCAUGCCUUCUCUUAACACUGCCAGCUCUUGCUCUGGCUGUUCUGGAACAGGUUGGAAUGUCCCACCCAAGGCUCGAAGCCCGUCAGUGGGGGAUGGGGGCUCUCCUGUAGACACCCACAAGCUUUAUGGCUGCAUUUCCUCUCCCUCACCUCCAGAGAGCAGACACACUCAAGUGCCGCACGCUCGCUGUGGGAUGCUGAGUGAGAGGGGACUCUCCCCUCAUAAACCCAUAACCCUCCAGGGGCCGCGGGGGAUGCAGUGCCCGGUAUUGUGGGAAAGCACCUGUGUUUGUUUCCAGGGCUGCUGUCACAAAGCAUCACAAACUGGGUGACUUAGGACAACAGAAAUGUAUUGUCUUAUUGUUUUGAAAGCCACAAGUCCACAGGCAAGGUUGUGACAGGGUCCUCUCCCUCUGGAACCUGUAGAAGGACCCUUCCUCACCUCUUCCCAGUUCCUGGGGGUUUCCUGCAGUCCUUGGUGUUCCGGAGCUUGCAGUUGCAUCACUGCAAUCCUCUGUCUUCACAAGAUGUUCCCCCCGAUGUCUUCACAUCGUCCCUGUGUGUCUGCCUCAGUGUCCAAAUCUCCCUUUCUUAUAAGGACACCAGUCAUAUUGGAAAAGGCCCCACCCUGAUGACCUCAUUUUAACUUGAUUACUUGGUUACCCCAUUUCCAAGUAAGCUCACAGUGUGAGGCACCGGGGACUAGGCCUCUAAUGUAGCCUUUUUUAGUGUGUGUGGGGGGAACACAAUUCAACCCAUGACAGCACCUCUCCGCAAGAUCUCAAUUGAUUUUUGGGGGGUUAGAAUGUUGAGUACAUCUUCAGACGUGGACUCUGUCACCAAUUCUUGAAAAAUAGAAAAAAUUCCAUGUAGCCUCCUGUAUCAUCAUGCUGCAGAUACAGUGAUAAGAGCUAAUAAAUGAUAAAUAAUACUUUACUGAGGGAUUACUGUAAACUAGGAGCUGUUGUAAAGCCUUGUAAUGAUGUUUUGUCAUUUGAUCUUUGCAUCUACUGGGCUUGGGACUAUUGUUUCUGUUUUGUAGGUGAGAAAAUAAAAGCCUGGAGCCAUCAGGAGUCUUGCUCUUACUACACCGGCAUUACACCUGCUCCCAAGGUUAGACUAUUUCCUUCGUUCACAUGAAGGAGUCCCUUCACUCAGGCCAACCUCUUCCAACUUGAGUGCGAGUGGACAUUCACUAUUACAUUCCUACACUGCCCCAGCUGGCUGUGUUUAUCCGUUGUUAACUCAGACUGGCUCUUAAGAAAGGAAGAGUCAACUUGUGGUCAAAUUGCAUCCUUUAUUGAAGAAGUAGGAAAAAAGAGUAGUGGAAAAGACUUCAUUCGAAUGCAUUUUCCAUGAGGCCUCUUGAAAAAAAAUUACGGAGUUCGUCACUAAUUCACAAUUAAUCUUGUCUUCACUGGAGUCACACUGGGUCUUUGCAAAUUAUGAAGAGAUAGUAGAUUCCGACAGUGAGUAACCUGGGGUGAGUUAAGUGAUAGCAAAUUACUCGUUAUUAUUCUCUGAAAUAAAAGCCUUGUCCUUAGCCACUGAGUCAAAACAAGGCAAAACAGUAGAAACCAGAAACAAACAUGUAAACCUAGAGUGCGACCAGUUGAAACCAUAAUGAGGAGGUUGUAUCUACUCUGUCUUGGAGUGGAGUCAAAUGCACAUCAGACCCAGGGUCCAUCAGGAACCCGAGGUUUCAAUGAACCACAACAACCUUAUUAAGCUAAACUACUACUCUUUGCAGAAUCACUUCAAUCUCCAGCUGGACUCUGGUGGGUCCUAAGUUUCCUCCUGGGUCCUCUGCUUCCCGUUCUGGGUCAGAAGGAGAAACAUCUGAACAACCAAUGGAGCAGAGAGCUAUCUGGCUCAGAUGACACGAUUUUGGGGUGUCACUGCAGAAGACAUUCUAAUGAGGACAGUGUCAUUAUUUUCCUGAGUAAAACGCUUGCAUUUUUGCUUUUUGUGUUUUAAGUUUUAAGAAUAUUGUGUUGUCUUAGCACAGACACAAAAAGCCUGAAAAUUCACAAACGCUUUGAACAGGUUUAUAAUCAAGUGAAAAACCGAUCCAUAUUCAAAGCUAAGCACAACAAUUGUUGAGCAGUUAGAAAUAAAGGAGAAGCAGUUUAUGAAACUAAUUUUAGUUAAAUCUGAGGCAUUAGUUAUCCAGGAACAUCGAGUGUGAAUACUAAUAUACAAAACAUUAAUAAACUUCCUAAGUAUCUUUCAAGUUUAUCAUCUUCUCUUUAUCCCCUAUUGUUGAAAUUUAGGGACUUGCAUUUGGCUAACAUGUUUCCUGUUGGAGCAACCCCUUAAUUAUCCCUGUCUCCUGCCUUGUCCUUCUCUAAUCCGAUCUCUGUUCUUCUGAUGAAUGACUCCUUCAAAAUCACUCUACUGCACAUUUAUCUGAAUUCUUCACGGCAAUCCCAGCCCCUCUGCCACUACUCAGUUCAGAGAUGGGCUGGCCGAAGGCAACUGGGCCAGUGUGAAGUAGAGAGGAUUCCUUUUGGCUUCUGAGAAAGAGAAGCCAGUUUCUCCUGCUGCAUCUGACCCAGGAAGUAGGCUGCCCUCACCAUCCUAUGGCCUUAGGAUAAAGAUGAAGAUUGCAGAGGAAGACGGAAAGAAUCUGGGUCACUGAUAACAUCACUGAGCUAUUGCACCAAUUGAUCCUGAAGUCCCCCACUUGUGGACUUGCUGUUGUAAGAGAGGACAUAUUUCCUGAUUGAUUCAGCAGUUUGGUGGGGGGAUCUGUAAUUUGCUGCAGGAAAUAAAAUAACCAUAAAGUUUGAUAAGGAAACUCUUCUGUGUGAAGCCCUUCAAUAGCAUGCUGGUACUUACAGACUAAAUCCCAAACUCUUCAGUAAGGUGGUGUAGCCCUGUUCAGAACUGGUGUCAGUUUCCAUUACUCUCCUCCACGCACAAUGGCACAAACAUGCCAUUCUUCUGGAUCCAGACAGAGUUGUAGACUGUUUUGUUAAUAUGCAAUUCUUUUGGAGGGAUUAAUUGUCUAUUUUUAUUUGGAAAGAAUUCAGAGAUGAGGAGAUGAGCUUAUCAGCCAUUA